Ficedula albicollis (Collared flycatcher) is the source of this 572-nucleotide long non-coding RNA. RefSeq lists it as uncharacterized. NCBI's taxonomy places the organism in Eukaryota, Metazoa, Chordata, Aves, Passeriformes, Muscicapidae. The transcript has 5 exons. The record is from RefSeq and is a predicted model, not a curated record.
ACUUCUUAAAAGAAUGAGAUGUGACUAACUCGUCCCAAGCCACACAAGAAGCUGGUGGCAGCACAGAGGAGUGAUGAUUUGUUGGCAGGGCAGGCCAAAAACCCACUUGGGCAAGAUUCAAACAAACAUCCAGGCCAGCAGCUUCAAGUGCUCUCAUUCACAAGCGAUCAGUCAGAAAUCUCUCUGCUGAGUUUGGUGGCACCGACAUCAAAGCUGUCCAUGUUGUUUGUUGUCACCUCCACUGUAGUGUCAGUGCCAGUGUACAGCAGAGGGGGACCUCAUCUCUGAACCAUGCUGGGUUAGGAGGUGGGAGCCAGCACUUUUCUUCCAGCAGAUUCCAUCCAACCUUGACCUCCACCAUCCAGAUCUGCAGGAGCUUUGGAGACUCAAGAGACAGAUGAGCACACAUGGAAGAGAGAUGCUUGGUGCAGAGUGAGCAGGAGUGAGGAUCUGUGUUCUGCCACUGCAUCCAGCUUGCUGCACAGCCCGAGGCCACAUGAAACAGUGAAGGAGAGGCUGAGCCUGCACACCCACACCAAAAUGCUUUUGACAUUUGGAGAUCUGCAGGAGUG